UGCAUCUGUGGCCGAGAGGCCGAAGGCAGCGGACUCAUAAUCCGCCAUCCUUAAAAGGACGUCGCUGGUUCGAAUCCAGCCAGAUGCAU
Molecule: transfer RNA, 89 nt
Filed under: Riquetophycus sp.
Lineage: Eukaryota; Rhodophyta; Florideophyceae; Peyssonneliales; Peyssonneliaceae
Description: tRNA-Met
Rfam family: tRNA
About the family: Transfer RNA (tRNA) molecules are approximately 80 nucleotides in length.
Source: RNAcentral